UAUGUAACCGAUUUUAAAAGUAGCAUUUUUAAAAUCGGCUUUUCAGUAGCCGAUUUUAAAAGCGUUACUUUUAAAAUCGGCUACUUA
Molecule: microRNA precursor, 87 nt
Filed under: Cajanus cajan (pigeon pea)
Lineage: Eukaryota; Viridiplantae; Streptophyta; Magnoliopsida; Fabales; Fabaceae
Description: miRNA gene-KK1_036073
Source: RNAcentral